GGGUUGUGAGGUUAAGCGACUAAGCGUACACGGUGGAUGCCCUGGCAGUCAGAGGCGAUGAAGGACGUGCUAAUCUGCGAUAAGCGUCGGUAAGGUGAUAUGAACCGUUAUAACCGGCGAUUUCCGAAUGGGGAAACCCAGUGUGAUUCGUCACACUAUCAUUAACUGAAUCCAUAGGUUAAUGAGGCGAACCGGGGGAACUGAAACAUCUAAGUACCCCGAGGAAAAGAAAUCAACCGAGAUUCCCCCAGUAGCGGCGAGCGAACGGGGAGCAGCCCAGAGCCUGAAUCAGUGUGUGUGUUAGUGGAAGCGUCUGGAAAGGCGCGCGAUACAGGGUGACAGCCCCGUACACAAAAAUGCACAUGCUGUGAGCUCGAUGAGUAGGGCGGGACACGUGGUAUCCUGUCUGAAUAUGG
This 416-nucleotide ribosomal RNA is filed under the name Escherichia coli. RNAcentral's name for it is "bacterial LSU rRNA". It matches the Rfam family "Bacterial large subunit ribosomal RNA", at positions 1 to 447 of the family's 2925-position model. Lineage: Bacteria; Pseudomonadati; Pseudomonadota; Gammaproteobacteria; Enterobacterales; Enterobacteriaceae. The record is from RNAcentral. RNAcentral also lists the same sequence under 1 other name.